Molecule: ribosomal RNA, 1343 nt
Filed under: uncultured bacterium
Lineage: Bacteria
Description: 16S ribosomal RNA
Rfam family: Bacterial small subunit ribosomal RNA
Source: RNAcentral
GACGAACGCUCGUUGCGUGCUUAACACAUGCAAGUCGAACGGAAAGGCCCUGCUUUUGUGGGGUGCUCGAGUGGCGAACGGGUGAGUAACACGUGAGUAACCUGCCCUUGACUUUGGGAUAACUUCAGGAAACUGGGGCUAAUACCGGAUAGGAGCUCCUGCUGCAUGGUGGGGGUUGGAAAGUUUCGGCGGUUGGGGAUGGACUCGCGGCUUAUCAGCUUGUUGGUGGGGUAGUGGCUUACCAAGGCUUUGACGGGUAGCCGGCCUGAGAGGGUGACCGGCCACGUUGGGACUGAGAUACGGCCCAGACUCCUACGGGAGGCAGCAGUGGGGAAUAUUGCACAAUGGGCGGAAGCCUGAUGCAGCAACGCCGCGUGCGGGAUGACGGCCUUCGGGUUGUAAACCGCUUUCGCCUGUGACGAAGCGUGAGUGACGGUAAUGGGUAAAGAAGCACCGGCUAACUACGUGCCAGCAGCCGCGGUGAUACGUAGGGUGCGAGCGUUGUCCGGAUUUAUUGGGCGUAAAGGGCUCGUAGGUGGUUGAUCGCGUCGGAAGUGUAAUCUUGGGGCUUAACCCUGAGCGUGCUUUCGAUACGGGUUGACUUGAGGAAGGUAGGGGAGAAUGGAAUUCCUGGUGGAGCGGUGGAAUGCGCAGAUAUCAGGAGGAACACCAGUAGCGAAGGCGGUUUUCUGGGCCUUUCCUGACGCUGAGGAGCGAAAGCGUGGGGAGCGAACAGGCUUAGAUACCCUGGUAGUCCACGCUGUAAACGGUGGGUACUAGGUGUGGGGUCCAUUCCACGGGUUCCGUGCCGUAGCUAACGCUUUAAGUACCCCGCCUGGGGAGUACGGCCGCAAGGCUAAAACUCAAAGGAAUUGACGGGGCCCCGCACAAGCGGCGGAGCAUGCGGAUUAAUUCGAUGCAACGCGUAGAACCUUACCUGGGUUUGACAUGGAUCGGGAGUGCUCAGAGAUGGGUGUGCCUCUUUUGGGGUCGGUUCACAGGUGGUGCAUGCCUGUCGUCAGCUCGUGUCGUGAGAUGUUGGGUUAAGUCCCGCAACGAGCGCAACCCUUGUUCACUGUUGCCAGCACGUUAUGGUGGGGACUCAGUGGAGACCGCCGGGGUCAACUCGGAGGAAGGUGGGGAUGACGUCAAGUCCUCAUGCCCCUUAUGUCCAGGGCUUCACGCAUGCUACAAUGGCUGGUACAGAGAGUGGCGAGCCUGUGAGGGUGAGCGAAUCUCGGAAAGCCGGUCUCAGUUCGGAUUGGGGUCUGCAACUCGACCUCAUGAAGUCGGAGUCGCUAGUAAUCGCAGAUCAGCAACGCUGCGGUGAAUACGUUCCCGGG